UACAGAGGUCCCAAGCGUUGUUCGGAUUCAUUGGGCGUAAGGGGUGCGUAGGUGGCGCCGUAAGUCAGGUGUGAAAUUUCGGAGCUUAACUCCGAAACUGCAUUUGAUACUGCGGUGCUUGAGGACUGGAGAGGAGACUGGAAUUUACGGUGUAGCAGUGAAAUGCGUAGAGAUCGUAAGGAAGACCAGUGGCGAAGGCGGGUCUCGUGGACAGUUCCUGACACUGAGGCACGAAGGCCAGGGGAGCAAACGGG
This 254-nucleotide ribosomal RNA is filed under the name uncultured bacterium. Its description in RNAcentral is "partial 16S ribosomal RNA". It matches the Rfam family "Bacterial small subunit ribosomal RNA", at positions 524 to 776 of the family's 1533-position model. The record is from RNAcentral.